GUUUCUAUAGUUGAAUAACAACGAUGAUUUUUCAUGUCAUUGGUCAUAG
This 49-nucleotide transfer RNA is filed under the name Microtus obscurus (Altai voie). Its description in RNAcentral is "partial tRNA-Glu". The record is from RNAcentral. Lineage: Eukaryota; Metazoa; Chordata; Mammalia; Rodentia; Cricetidae.